Molecule: ribosomal RNA, 377 nt
Filed under: uncultured eukaryote
Lineage: Eukaryota
Description: partial 18S ribosomal RNA
Rfam family: Eukaryotic small subunit ribosomal RNA
Source: RNAcentral
CAAUAGCGUAUAUUUAAGUUGCUGCAGUUAAAAAGCUCGUAGUUGGAUUUCGGGUGGGAAUGGCCGGUCCGCCGUUUCGGUGUGCACUUGCUAAGCCCACCUUGCUGCCGGGGACGUGCUCUUGAGUUCACGCUCGGGACACGGAGUCGGCGAGGUUACUUUGAGUAAAUUAGAGUGUUCAAAGCAGGCCUACGCUCUGAAUACAUUAGCAUGGAAUAACACGAUAGGACUCUGGCCUAUCUUGUUGGUCUGUAGGACCGGAGUAAUGAUUAAGAGGGACAGUCGGGGGCAUUCGUAUUUCAUUGUCAGAGGUGAAAUUCUUGGAUUUAUGAAAGACGAACUACUGCGAAAGCAUUUGCCAAGGAUGUUUUCAUUAA